RNAcentral lists this long non-coding RNA (213 nucleotides) under Mytilus galloprovincialis (Mediterranean mussel). Lineage: Eukaryota; Metazoa; Mollusca; Bivalvia; Mytilida; Mytilidae. The record is from RNAcentral.
UACGAUGUUACCUUAAAUCGGUCAUUUGAUCAAGAUAAUUUUCUAAUAUGUAUUGACAAAUGUAUUAGAAGUAAAAUUGAAACAACCACAGCUUCAUUUAAAAAUUACACCAUUUUCUCAGUAUUAUUUUUUCAGUAAAUUUUUCUACUUUUUGAUAUUCAUUCAGAUUUGACCUUUAAUGGUAAUUUUUCAACAUUUUACUGUUAAUUUGAC